RNAcentral lists this ribosomal RNA (253 nucleotides) under uncultured bacterium. RNAcentral's name for it is "partial 16S ribosomal RNA". It matches the Rfam family "Bacterial small subunit ribosomal RNA", at positions 524 to 776 of the family's 1533-position model. The record is from RNAcentral.
UACGAAGGGGGCUAGCGUUGUUCGGAAUUACUGGGCGUAAAGCGCGCGCAGGCGGUCCUUCAAGUCAGAGGUGAAAGCCCAGAGCUCAACUCUGGAACGGCCUUUGAGACUAGAGGACUUGGGUACGGGAGAGGUGAGUGGAAUUCCGAGUGUAGGGGUGAAAUUCGUAGAUAUUCGGAAGAACACCAGUGGCGAAGGCGGCUCACUGGCCCGUUACCGACGCUCAGGCGCGACAGCGUGGGGAGCAAACAGG